RNAcentral lists this ribosomal RNA (497 nucleotides) under uncultured bacterium. RNAcentral's name for it is "partial 16S ribosomal RNA". It matches the Rfam family "Bacterial small subunit ribosomal RNA", at positions 28 to 507 of the family's 1533-position model. The record is from RNAcentral.
GAUGAACGCUGGCGGCGUGCCUAAUACAUGCAAGUCGAGCGAACGGACGAGAAGCUUGCUUUUCUGAUGUUAGCGGCGGACGGGUGAGUAACACGUGGAUAACCUACCUAUCAGACUGGGAUCACUUCGGGAAACCGGCGCUAAUACCGGAUAAUAUUUUGAACCGCAUGGUUCAAAAGUGAAAGACGGUCUUGCUGUCACUUCUAGAUGGAUCCGCGCUGCAUUAGCUAGUUGGUAAGGUAACGGCUUACCAAGGCAACGAUGCAUAGCCGACCUGAGAGGGGGAUCGGCCACACGGGAAGUGAGACACGGUCCAGACUCCUACGGGAGGCAGCAGUAGGGAAUCUGCCGCAAUGGGCGAAAGCCUGACGGAGCAACGCCGCGUGAGUGAUGAAGGUCUUGGGAGCGUAAAACUCUGUUAUGAGGGAAGAACAGAUGUGUAAGUAACUGUGCACAGCUUGACGGUACCUAGUCAGAAAGCCACGGCUAACUACGUG